GAUGAAGAACGCAGCGAAAUGCGAUAAGUAAUGUGAAUUGCAGAAUUCAGUGAAUCAUCGAAUCUUUGAACGCACAUUGCGCCCGCCAGUAUUCUGGCGGGCAUGCCUGUUCGAGCGUCAUUUCAACCCUCAAGCCCCCGGGCUUGGUGUUGGGGAUCGGCGAGCCUCCGCGCCCGCCGUCCCCUAAAUCUAGUGGCGGUCUCGCUGUAGCUUCCUCUGCGUAGUAGCACACCUCGCACUGGGAAACAGCGCGGCCACGCCGUUAAACCCCCAACUUCUGAACGUUUGACCUCGGAUCAGGUAGGAAUACCCGCUGAACUUAAGCAUAUCAAUAGCGGAGGA
This 342-nucleotide unclassified non-coding RNA is filed under the name soil metagenome. RNAcentral's name for it is "partial contains 5.8S ribosomal RNA, internal transcribed spacer 2, and large subunit ribosomal RNA". The stretch from base 1 to 120 matches the Rfam family "5.8S ribosomal RNA", at positions 35 to 154 of the family's 154-position model. The record is from RNAcentral.